UACAGAGGGUGCGAGCGUUGUCCGGAAUCACUGGGCGUAACGGGCGCGUAGGUGACGGGAUAAGCGUGCGGUGCAAGCUCGGGGCUCAACUCCGCGUCUGCCGUGCGGACUGUCUUGCUCGAGCGUAGUAGAGGCAGGUGGAAUUCCGGGUGUAGCAGUGGAAUGCGUAGAGAUCCGGAAGAACAACGGUGGCGAAGGCGGCCUGCUGGGCUACUGCUGACACUGAGGCGCGACAGCGUGGGGAGCAAACAGG
Molecule: ribosomal RNA, 253 nt
Filed under: uncultured bacterium
Lineage: Bacteria
Description: partial 16S ribosomal RNA
Rfam family: Bacterial small subunit ribosomal RNA
Source: RNAcentral